AUUGAACGCUGGCGGCAUGCCUUACACAUGCAAGUCGAACGGUAACAGGUCUUCGGAUGCUGACGAGUGGCGAACGGGUGAGUAAUACAUCGGAACGUGCCCGAUCGUGGGGGAUAACGGAGCGAAAGCUUUUGCUAAUACCGCAUACGAUCUACGGAUGAAAGCAGGGGACCGCAAGGCCUUGCGCGGACGGAGCGGCCGAUGGCAGAUUAGGGUAGUUGGUGGGAUAAAAGCUUACCAAGCCGACGAUCUGUAGCUGGUCUGAGAGGACGACCAGCCACACUGGGACUGAGACACGGCCCAGACUCCUACGGGAGGCAGCAGUGGGGAAUUUUGGACAAUGGGCGCAAGCCUGAUCCAGCCAUGCCGCGUGCAGGAUGAAGGCCUUCGGGUUGUAAACUGCUUUUGUUACGGAACGAAAGACUCUUUCUAAUAAAGAAGGGUCCAUGACGGUACCGUAAGAAUAAGCACCGGCUAACUACGUAGCCAGCAGCCGCGGUAAAACG
This 506-nucleotide ribosomal RNA is filed under the name uncultured bacterium. Its description in RNAcentral is "bacterial SSU rRNA". It matches the Rfam family "Bacterial small subunit ribosomal RNA", at positions 30 to 527 of the family's 1533-position model. The record is from RNAcentral.